GCUCAAACCCUAAUACCUUUUUCACCCCCACGCAAGGAGUUCUUCGUUUUUUUCCCCCUUUUCUUUUUUCAGCCCAAUUUUAAUUCCAAUUUCUUGGUGGAUUUUAUAAUUUUUUUUUAUUUUAAUAUAAAUUUCUGAUUUGAGUCGUCGCCACGGCGGUUCGAUUUUGGUAGACGGGAGGGAAAAAAAGAUCCCGCUAUUUACAUGUUUUUUGGGGGAAAUUGCUGCCGGAGAAUCGCCGUAGCUGAGCACCGGCGGCGGUGCAAUUUAUGGCGUCUGCCGUGUUAGCAAGCCAGAAUGAGUCGAGCUGGGCCCACAUGGGAAAGACUCCUUACUCUAAUCCUCACCUGAAUGCAAACCCUAACCCUAACCCGAAGAAGAAGCAGAAGCAGUUCCACCUAGCCUCGGCCAACGGCGCAGUCGGCCGUUACCACCACCAGAACAACAAUUCGCCGGCCGUCACCCAGACAGCGUCCGACGACGCCUACUCGUACAACCAGACGUCGACCAGCCGGAACGCUGUCAAUUAUGGUGGCUAUUUGACUUUCGCCGUUGCUUCGUCUUCGAAAUCCGAGCUCCGUGAGCUCCGUAAAAGAUUAUCUGCGGAGCUUGAUCGGACCCGAGAUUUACAGGAUCGAAUCGAUUCUGGCCGAUUCAACAAUGUCGAGAAUCCCAGAUCUCAACCGAAAUUGCACAAUUUCAGUGGAAACAGACGGCCUGGCGCUGCCCUUGGAUCUGCUCCGAAGAAAUUAUUCAAUGGGUACGACAAUGGCAGUUUAAACCCGGUUAAUUUUGACGAGUCGUUGAAGGAAUGCAGCAAAAUUGUUGCGAAAUUGAUAAAGCACAAAUUUGGCUACAUCUUCAAAUCGCCGGUGGAUGCUGUGGCUUUGAAGCUGCACGAUUAUCAUCUGAUUGUGAAACGCCCGAUGGAUCUGGGCACUGUGAAAACCAAUCUAUCGAAGAAAGUGUAUCCGACACCUGCUGAAUUUGCAGCCGAUAUGAGGUUGACUUUCAACAAUGCGUUGUUGUACAACCCCAAGUCUGAUCCCGUAAACGGUAUGGCAGAGCAGAUGUUGGCCAAAUUCGAGGAAUUGUUCAAGCCCAUACAGGAGAAGAUGGAUAAGGCUCUCAGUCAGCCGAGGGAGAGGGAAAGGGAAUUCCGCGAUUUUAACGACGAAUUGCAGUUUCGGGCGCUCGAGGAUUUGCAGGGGAGUUCCUGGAAUAAUCACAGUAACCAGCUUGUUGCUUCUCCGGCGAGAGUGAAAAAGACGAAACCGAAGUCUAGUCCUGUUCCGGUCCCUGUUCCCCAGGGUUUGAAGAAGCCCGAAAGGAUUGAAAGGAUUGAAAGAAUUGUUGAAAGAAUACCGACACCGAAGCAAGCUCAUUCCAGUGCCUCGACGCCUUCAAACCCGCCUCCACCUUCGAUGAAUCAGAAGCCAUUGAUGAUGCCAGAGCAGCUGCCUCCUUCCCCAGUGAGAGCUCCGACACUGCCCACUAGCGAACAGAAAAUUGUGAGAGGAGUGGGUAUGGUGAAGCAGCCGAAGCCGAGGGCAAAGGAUCCUAACAAGAGAGAUAUGAACAUGGAGGAGAAGCAGAAGCUUGGACUUGGGUUGCAGAGUUUGCCUCAAGAAAAGAUGCCUCAGCUGGUAGGGAUUAUUAAGAAGAGGAAUGAGCAUUUGGCGCAGGAUGGCGAUGAAAUUGAGCUCGACAUUGAGGCCCUUGAUACGGAGACACUGUGGGAGCUUGACCGGUUUGUGACCAAUUGGAAGAAGAUGGUGAGCAAGACGAAGCGGCAAGCAUUGAUGACUAACAUCAAUCCAGGUUCUGGAGUUGCUGAACCUGCUUCUCCCACUGCCGAAGCUGAUGAUAUGGGCACAAUGAGUGAUGAUAAGAACGAUGAUUCGGGGAAGAAAUUGAAAGAGAACGAUGAUGAAGAUGUAGAUAUUGACGAUGAUAUGCCAGCAACUAGCUUUCCUCCGGUGGAGAUUGAAAAGGAUGAGGGGGCUGGCGGCGCAGGUGGCGGUGGUGGUGGUGGUGGUGGUGGUGCACCAGAGAAUGAUAAUGUAGAUCGUGGCAAUGGCGGCGGCAGCAGUAGCUCGAGUAGUUCAGGCAGCUCUAGUAGUGAUUCUUCGUCCUCCAGUGAUUCUUCAGGGAGUUCUUCUGGGAGUGACUCCGAUGCUGACGAUGCACAGUCUUGAUUCGCUGUUGAGAAAGCACUCGGCUGUAUGAUCCGAUGAUGGGCAUCACUUCGAACUGUCCUCUCAUUUGGUUGUUGUUUUGAUAUAUAAACAUGUUUCUUGAUAAGAAUGGCGAGUUGGGAAGAAGUGGUGCUUAUCAAUGAUGACGAGAUGAUUGAUUGUUUGUGGGGAUGAAGAUGUUAGAGAAUUUGGUUAGGUUUUGUUAAAUGUUGAAAUGAAAUGUAGUUUUAAGGAAAAACGAAUACGGAAGAGCUAAAUAGAGAAUGUAGAUAGUAGUAAGUAGCUUUUGACGAGGGUAGAUACAACUCAAUACACAAUGUUUGCUCUGCUUAUUUGCAGUUCCUCCUCCGCUGUUAAUGUUGUUGUCUGAAAGGCCUUUGGUGUAUUGUUGUUGUUAUUUGAGUAAAUCUUGAAUAUGUACAAUAUGCCUUUGGUUGCAACAAUUGAAAUAGCAAAGAUGAGUGGGACUGCUUGAUCUUUACAGCUGUUAUUGUGGUU
Erythranthe guttata (spotted monkey flower) is the source of this 2696-nucleotide non-coding RNA. The record is from RefSeq and is a predicted model, not a curated record. Lineage: Eukaryota; Viridiplantae; Streptophyta; Magnoliopsida; Lamiales; Phrymaceae.